This 236-nucleotide ribosomal RNA is filed under the name Mesorhizobium sp. RNAcentral's name for it is "partial 23S ribosomal RNA". It matches the Rfam family "Bacterial large subunit ribosomal RNA", at positions 2382 to 2617 of the family's 2925-position model. Lineage: Bacteria; Pseudomonadati; Pseudomonadota; Alphaproteobacteria; Hyphomicrobiales; Phyllobacteriaceae. The record is from RNAcentral.
CGACAAGUCGAGCAGGUACGAAAGUAGGACAUAGUGAUCCGGUGGUUCUGAAUGGAAGGGCCAUCGCUCAACGGAUAAAAGGUACUCCGGGGAUAACAGGCUGAUACCGCCCAAGAGUUCAUAUCGACGGCGGUGUUUGGCACCUCGAUGUCGGCUCAUCACAUCCUGGGGCUGAAGUAGGUCCCAAGGGUAUGGCUGUUCGCCAUUUAAAGUGGUACGCGAGCUGGGUUUAGAAC